Molecule: ribosomal RNA, 502 nt
Filed under: uncultured bacterium
Lineage: Bacteria
Description: bacterial SSU rRNA
Rfam family: Bacterial small subunit ribosomal RNA
Source: RNAcentral
AGUGAACGCUGGCGGCAGGCCUAAUACAUGCAAGUCGAACGGCAGCACAGCAGAGCUUGCUCUGUGGGUGGCGAGUGGCGGACGGGUGAGGAAUACGUGGGAAUCUGCCCAGUCGUGGGGGAUAACGUAGGGAAACUUACGCUAAUACCGCAUGCGCCCUUCGGGGAAAGCCGGGGACCUUCGGGCCUGGCGCGAUUGGAUGAGCCCACGUCGGAUUAGCUAGUUGGCGGGGUAAAGGCCCACCAAGGCGACGAUCCGUAGCUGGUCUGAGAGGAUGAUCAGCCACACUGGAACUGAGACACGGUCCAGACUCCUACGGGAGGCAGCAGUAGGGAAUAUUGGACAAUGGGCGCAAGCCUGAUCCAGCCAUGCCGCGUGAGUGAAGAAGGCCCUCGGGUGUAAAGCUCUUUGUCCGGUAAGAAAGCGCCGGGUUAAUACCCUGGUGUCCUGACGGUACCGGAGAAUAAGCACCGGCUAACUUCGUGCCAGCAGCCGCGGUAAU